This 444-nucleotide long non-coding RNA is filed under the name Dromaius novaehollandiae (emu). RNAcentral describes it as "lncRNA (ENSDNVG00000001047.1)". The record is from RNAcentral. Lineage: Eukaryota; Metazoa; Chordata; Aves; Casuariiformes; Dromaiidae.
UCUCUCCAGUGAUCAGUAAGAUGGAUUUUACUGUGAUAGAUGAAUCUAUCGCUUUCAUGUUUAUCGUAUUAAACUUACAGAUUGUUAAAUACCAUGAAUUCUGUUGACCUGAAUAAAUUGAACAAAGAAUUCUUUCAGUCAUCCCAUUCAGAGAGUUCUUCACUGCUAGCAAUUGCUUUGAUGUGCUAUGGCAUCACUAGGAUUUAAAUCAUUCAGCAGUCCCUUCCUGAGCCUUGACUUGCCUAUUGCGUCUGUUUAUAUGCUGCUUCUCAUAYCAAAAGUACUCUGUGCUAAAUAGUAGAAGUGAGAGAAUGAGUCAUAUGACAUCUUUGUUUUUACUGUCACUGAGCCUGCACUUAUUUUAAUUGUGCAUGCUGCAUUUUGAUAUAAAGGUAUGAUCUUAAUUGUUCUUAUUGGCAUUUGAUAAUGUUUYAGAAAAUUCUG